GGAGUUAUUUUUUUAAUAUUUUGGGGGGGUUGUAGAUUGAUACAAUACCUUCCUUUUAUUUAUUUAUUUUUAUAUUGUGCCAAGGAUCAAACCCAGUGCCUCACAUGUGCCAGGCAAGUGCUCUACCACUGAGCCACAACCCCAGCUUUUAUGGUAUUGUUGUUUAUGGUUUUUAAUAACAGACUUGGGUGUAGCCUGGUCACUUUAAAUUUUUGAUAAUGAGCAGAGGAGUUGGAGGGAAGAUAAGGUAGUAGUUAGCUGCCCUUGCCCUUUUUUCCUCGGGCCAUUAUGGCAAGAUAGGUGCUUUGGAGCAAGAGAGUACCAUUAUCUCUCUGUCUGGACAGGGACUGAAAAUUCUCACCCGUAGGGAGGUAAGUUAGGUACCAUCAUUCACAGCAGAAAAUAAGCAGCUGGGGGCAUAAAAGAUAGCCUAGCCCUGGAGGAUCAGCACUAUAAUGUCAUAUGCUGGAACUGACCCAUAGACUUAGCCCCACAUAUUCUUGGGUGACUUGCUUUUGGGAGAAUAUAAAAGAUGUGUUUCAUCCAUUAGAAAGUUUCUUGACCAUCAGGGUGACUUACUGACCCUUUUUCACAGAGCGUCAAAUUUGCAGAGCUGAACUAGACCUUAAUGGCUACCCAGCUCUGGGCCAGGAGUGGCAGGUGGAAGUAGGCACUGUAGCAUGGUAACAUCUACUCAUCUGACUACUGGCAGUGGGUGUAACUAGGAUCUGCUUCUGUGCAGAAGGCAUUAGGGACAUGCUCUUGAGCAUCCUUUAUCAUGUCUUAAGUCUAGGUAAACCUGUUUUUCUUUCAUGAUAAUAGAGAAAACUCAACAGUUUCUUUCAAGGUAUUGCAGACCUACAAGGUAGUCCAGUCCCCUAAUGAGAAGUCAGAUGUGGACUGGCUAACUUCCAAGUUCUCUCCCCCUAGACCUGACUGCCUCAUUACCAUUCCCGGGUUUCCUUUGGCUCCCACACUUCUAUUGCUUCCACUUACCAGGUCAUUCAGGACGAAUACCUUUCCCUCAUGGCCAGGCUCAUUAUCCAUUUUCGAGAUAUUUGGUUAUCACGUGGUGCACCUGCUUCGUAGAGUCCACGGAGGCCCUCCAACAGGACAUCUGGCUGAGUCCCCCCAUUUGCAGGGACAAAGAUUGUAUCGAGACUACCCAUGACCUAUGGCUUUGAGGAACUUUCAUCGAUUUCGGCCCCAAGGAAAUUCACAUCUUCAGUGCCCUGGCCUUUACAGCUAUGCUUCUCUUGUCCCCACACCCUGACCACCACUCCCUUCCUUCACACUUGUCGUCCCUCUCCAGCAGGAAGUAGCCAGAAAAUCUCAUAGCCCUGUUCCCAACACAAAAACAAACAGGGAGGAAUGUUGGGUAUUUGGAAGACUCCCCGCCAAAGUUAAGUUUCCUCUCAGGAGAACAUCACUUACCCCUACCCCUCCUCUCCAAAGGGCGCCAAGACAAAGAGCACCAAAUUCAAAGGUUUUCUUGACCAAUCCCCACAGGACACAGUGUCUGCUUGCUGUUCCUGAGUCACCCUGCCAAUCAACACCUGCCAAGUCACCUAUACAAUCCUUCUUAAGCCAAAGCUUGCAAGCUCUCUGCCUUCUUCCACUCUUACCUCUUCCUCUUCUUUCUCUAUCUCUCUGCUCUGGUCUCUUUCGCUCUGCUCUCCUCUUCUCUCUCUGGUCUCUGCCUCUCCUUUUCUUCCCCUUCGGACAGCCCCCCAAUAAAAUCUCUUGGUUGAA
Ictidomys tridecemlineatus (thirteen-lined ground squirrel) is the source of this 1752-nucleotide non-coding RNA. Lineage: Eukaryota; Metazoa; Chordata; Mammalia; Rodentia; Sciuridae. The record is from RefSeq and is a predicted model, not a curated record.